UACAGAGGGUGCGAGCGUUAAUCGGAAUUACUGGGCGUAAAGCGUGCGUAGACGGUUACAUAAGUCGGGUGUGAAAGCCCCGGGCUCAACCUGGGAAUUGCAUUCGAGACUGCGUAGCUAGGGUGCGGAAGAGGGAAGCGGAAUUUCCGGUGUAGCGGUGAAAUGCGUAGAUAUCGGAAGGAGCACCAGUGGCGAAAGCGGCUUCCUGGUCCAGCACCGACGUUCAGGCACGAAAGCGUGGGGAGCAAACAGG
This 253-nucleotide ribosomal RNA is filed under the name uncultured bacterium. RNAcentral describes it as "partial 16S ribosomal RNA". It matches the Rfam family "Bacterial small subunit ribosomal RNA", at positions 524 to 776 of the family's 1533-position model. The record is from RNAcentral.